RNAcentral lists this ribosomal RNA (253 nucleotides) under uncultured bacterium. Its description in RNAcentral is "partial 16S ribosomal RNA". It matches the Rfam family "Bacterial small subunit ribosomal RNA", at positions 524 to 776 of the family's 1533-position model. The record is from RNAcentral.
GACAGAGGUCCCGAGCGUUAGGCGGAAUCACUGGGCUUAAAGCGUGUGUAGGCGGAGUUCUAAGUACCUUGUGAAAUCCCACGGCUCAACCGUGGAACUGCUUGGUAUACUGGUUCUCUUGAGCCACCUAGGGGCAACCGGAACAAACGGUGGAGCGGUAAAAUGCGUAGAUAUCGUUUGGAACGCCAAUGGUGAAAACAGGUUGCUGGGGGUGUGCUGACGCUGAGACACGAAAGCCAGGGGAGCAAACGGG